Molecule: ribosomal RNA, 544 nt
Filed under: Bacillus sp. ND29
Lineage: Bacteria; Bacillati; Bacillota; Bacilli; Caryophanales; Bacillaceae
Description: bacterial SSU rRNA
Rfam family: Bacterial small subunit ribosomal RNA
Source: RNAcentral
GAAUCUUUUGCAAUGGACGAAAGUCAGACGGAGCAACGCCGCGUGAGUGAUGAAGGUUUUCGGAUCGUAAAGCUCUGUUGUUAGGGAAGAACAAGUACCGUUUGAAUAGGGCGGUACCUUGACGGUACCUAACCAGAAAGCCACGGCUAACUACGUGCCAGCAGCCGCGGUAAUACGUAGGUGGCAAGCGUUGUCCGGAAUUAUUGGGCGUAAAGGGCUCGCAGGCGGUUUCUUAAGUCUGAUGUGAAAGCCCCCGGCUCAACCGGGGAGGGUCAUUGGAAACUGGGGAACUUGAGUGCAGAAGAGGAGAGUGGAAUUCCACGUGUAGCGGUGAAAUGCGUAGAGAUGUGGAGGAACACCAGUGGCGAAGGCGACUCUCUGGUCUGUAACUGACGCUGAGGAGCGAAAGCGUGGGGAGCGAACAGGAUUAGAUACCCUGGUAGUCCACGCCGUAAACGAUGAGUGCUAAGUGUUAGGGGGUUUCCGCCCCUUAGUGCUGCUACGCUAACGCAUUAAGCACUCCGUCUUGGGAGAAUGGGAGGUG